Molecule: ribosomal RNA, 397 nt
Filed under: uncultured bacterium
Lineage: Bacteria
Description: bacterial SSU rRNA
Rfam family: Bacterial small subunit ribosomal RNA
Source: RNAcentral
UGAGUAACACGGUGAGCAACCUGCCUUCAAAGGCGAGGAAUAAUGAGUGGAAACGCUCUGUAAUACCUCAUAACGUAUUUUUACCGCAUGAUAGGAAUACCAAAGAUUUAGUCACUUGAAGAUGGGCUCGGCGUCCGAUUAGCUAGUUGGUGAGGUAACGGCUCACCAAGGCGACGAUCGGUAGCCGUACUGAGAGGUAGAUCGGCCACAUUGGGACUGAGACACGGCCCAGACUCCUACGGAGGCAGCAGUGGGAAUAUUGCACAAUGGAGGAAACUCUGAUGCCAGCGAUGCCGCGUGAGCGAAGAAGGCCUUUUGGUUGUAAAGCUCUGUUAUCAGGGACGAAAAUGACGGUACCUGAGGAGGAAGCUCCGGCUAACUACGUGCCAGCCGCAGC